UCUAUAGCUUUGUUCCAAUAGAGAUUGUUGACUUGUAUAGCUUAGUUCCUUAUGUCUAUGUAUACCCAUAAUUAUCUAUGUAUAUUUCUUGUUGCAUAUUUCCAAUUGAAUACAUUAAGAAUCAAUUAUACAGAAACCCAACUUCAUCUCCUGCUUCUCAAAACAUGGCUGGUGAGGAAACCCCCAAAUCCAUUUAUGAUUUCACUGUCAAGGACAUACGCGGAAAUGAUGUACCUCUGAGCAAUUACAAUGGGAAGGUUGUUCUGAUUGUGAAUGUUGCUU
Camellia sinensis is the source of this 282-nucleotide non-coding RNA. NCBI's taxonomy places the organism in Eukaryota, Viridiplantae, Streptophyta, Magnoliopsida, Ericales, Theaceae. The record is from RefSeq and is a predicted model, not a curated record.